This is an unclassified non-coding RNA of Macaca fascicularis (crab-eating macaque), 302 nucleotides long. It matches the Rfam family "Metazoan signal recognition particle RNA". From Rfam's summary of the family: The signal recognition particle (SRP) is a universally conserved ribonucleoprotein. NCBI's taxonomy places the organism in Eukaryota, Metazoa, Chordata, Mammalia, Primates, Cercopithecidae. The record is from Ensembl.
GCCAGGUAUGGUAGCUUGUGCCUAUAGUCCCAGCUACUCAGGAGGCUGAGGCAGGAGGAUCUCUCGAGCAGCCCAGGAAUUCUGAGCUGUAGUGUCCUAUGCUGAUCGGGUGUCUGCACCAAGUUUGACUCAAUAUGGUGACCUCCUGGGAGCAGGGGACCACCAGGUUGCCUGAGGAGGGAUGAACCGCCCCAGGUCAGAAGUGGAGAAGGUCAAAACUCCUGUGUUGAUCAGUAGCGGAAUCGUGCCUGUGAAUAGCCACUGCACUCUCACCUGGGCCAUAUAGUGAGACCCUGUCUCAA